Molecule: long non-coding RNA, 3275 nt
Organism: Gopherus evgoodei (Goodes thornscrub tortoise)
Lineage: Eukaryota; Metazoa; Chordata; Testudines; Testudinidae
Exons: 6
Source: RefSeq, a predicted model, not a curated record
UUCGCCUAGGGCACAAAAUAUCCUUGUGCUGGCCCUGGUCAAUAGGACAACUCACAUGCUUAAACUUAAGCACAUGCUUAAGUGAUUUGAUGAAUCAGGCUGCAGUGCUCAGGAUCAAGCCCUUACUUUGCAAUCUCUUGGGGGCAGGGACUGUAUCUUUCAUAAAUGUCCAUGGCCUGAUCUACAGUACAAAGUGAGGUUGUUGUAAGGUGCCUUGCACCAACCUAGUUGUGCAUAUGUCCACACUUAAAUUUGUCUCCCACCAGUAUAAAAUCUCCAUUAUGCCAACAUAGUAAGACCUUCUGCCCAAGCGUUGUCGAGUCACAGUCAGUGUACUGAGGUUGACACAGUGCAAAUGUAGACACUGCAUUGCCUAUGUUAACCCUAACAGUCCUCCAGCAGCUGUCCCACAAAGCCCCACACUGACUGUUCUGGUCUUGGUUGUGAACUCCAUUGCCUGAGACUCACAGAGACUGGAAGCCGCACCCUUUCUUUAAAACCCUGUGAAUUUCUGAUAUGCUGUUUCCAGAUUGUCCAUUGUGGCAAACACUCGUAGCAGCUCUCCAUUGUUGUGUGCAACUGCCCAGCUGACCAUGUUGGCUACAUGCUCCAGGUGUGUUCUAUCCUGGAGUAGACAGGAGUUUUUGGAACUCCUGGGCCUGUGGGGAAAAGAAGUUGACAGGCACAUCUAUGGACCAGCCAUAGAAAUAUGGCCAUCUAUGAACAGAUUGCCCAGGGGAUGCAGGAGAAGGGUUAUGACAGGGACCAGCAGCAGUGCUGUGUGAAGGCAAAGGAAUCCUGCAGGCAUAUCAGAAGGCCAGAGUGUCCAACAGUCAAUCUGAUGCUGAGCUGCAGCCCUGCUGCUUUUACAAAAAGCUGUGUGCCAGGCUUGGUGAAGACAUCCCCACCAACACCCCACACAGACCUCCGUGGAUACCUCUGAAGAGCCUGCAUCACUGGCCCUUGGUGUGAACAGCAAGGAUGAGGAGGAGGAGGUGAAGGAGGAAUAGGAGAAGGAUGGGGGACAUGUGACCGGGAGGUCUAGCUAAGACGCUAGUUUGGACCUGUUUGAGACUCCAGCACAGUCCAUCAAUCCCAGCAGUCAAGCACCACAAAACUGAUUGAGGGGAAGGAUCCUCAGUUGCUGCUGUUGUGGCCUUGAGGAGUUCCCCUUCCACACCCACAGAAUGCCUGAGCCAGAUAAGGAUGGAAAAGAAGCUCAGAAUGACAUGUUCAGUGAGAUCCUGCAAGGCAGUGCUGCAUCAGACUAUGAACAGAGGGCCUGAAGCAUGAAUACUGCAGGCUGUAUAGAGAAAGAAAGAGCAGCAACAGGAGAAAGGACCAAGAAUCCCAGCAGAAAAAGGAGGGGAAAGGACAUAAUGGAGCUCCUCUGGCAGCAAACGUACAGAUUCAACAAUCCUGGGCUCAUCUCCCUUUGCAGUCCAUGGAGAAUUCCAUUACAGCGCCUUCCUACACACACAUACAUCAACUGUGGUUCUCACAGAGAAGUGAGUAUGGAGAAGGUUGCAUGCUGGGAACCUGACUCCUUACUCCCAGUCACCCCUGUGUGACUCAUUUCUGCAACACCCUGCAUUGCCGUAACUUCCCAAAAGACAGAGUGCUGGAUGGUGGCAAGUUGCACACUGGAAUACCUAGCAAUGAUGCACUACACUGUACAUUGAAACGAGCACUCCUGCUUUCUCCUGUGGACAAGGCCUAUGCAUAUGCUGAGACAACAGGUAGAGAGGACAACAAAACAAAACAAAACGGAAGGGUGGACAGUGAAGAGAUUGUGAGUUUGGUCUAAUAAUGAUUACCACUGAGAGCACACCAAACACCUAGCUAUCUCACUUUAUUCAAUUUAUCCCACCUUUACUUUCUUUCUCUUUUUGAAGCUAGCGGGGCUAGUUAUAUACUUAAACUUUUAACACAGUACUCAGGUGCUUUGCUCAACUGGGGCCAGAUAGUGCCUAAUUUUGACUUUGGAUGUGUCUGUGUGACUCUUUAUAGAAGUUAAUGGGAACUGCAUUUACACAGUGGAUCAAUGGUAGAAUUUGGUCCAGAGUGCGCAAAACAGCUUUUCUGGAGGAAUUUUGUUUUAGAAUCAUAGAUUAUCAGAGUUGAAGGGACCUUAGUAGGUCCUGUAGUCUAAGUUGCUACUUAAAGCCAGUCUAGUCCCCAGGCAGAUUUUUGCCCCAGAUCCCUAAAUGACCCCAUCAAGGAUUGAACUCACAACCCUCAGUUUAGCAAGUCAAUGCUCAAAUGACUGAGCUAUCCCUCCCCCAUCAUUAUUUUGCCUCAUUAUGUUAUGGCAUUAUUCCACAGGAAUUAUUAUGUACCCAACCACAUAAUAUGCUGAAUCCUAUUUCCUGGAACAUUGUUUUUACCAGCAAACAGUAUGUAUGUCAGAGGAUGUCUGUUACACUUCAUUUCUAUAUUAAAAAUAAUUGAUUUUUGCUUGGCUUUAGUACAAAGUUCAUAAACCUUGAAUAGAACUAUAUCAAAAGGGAAAGCCCUCUCUGCAGAAUAUAUCUGUGUGUGUUUACAUGUACUUUGAGUUCCAUCCUUACCUGAGUCAUCACUAUUCCAGAAGGUUCUUGGAUCAGGUUUAGCCAGCAGGUCUCCUUUACUACAGGACUCCAUCUAUUAAACAGAAGGAACAAAACAAACGGCAUGUGCCAUAUCAAAGAAUGCAUCUUCGAUUUGCUACUGCUAAAUGAGUCUUUCUUCAGUAGCUAGGUCACCAGAAAGGCAUUUUCCUUUGGAUCCCCUACUAUACAUACUGAGCUGAAAUGCAUCACCUGACUCUGGGGUGGGAAGCAGUGGUCAGCCAGUGAACAUGCUGCACAAGCGAGGGAGGAGAGUAAAAAUUUCCAGUGGUUGCAGAACAAACCCUUAUGAUGGAAGAUGUCAUGGGAUCUUUAAUGUCCACAUUGAGCAGACAGUACCUUGUUUUUUAAGGCCUGAUCUUAAAGAGGCUCACACAGUAAAUUGCUCAAUUUAUCUACAUUGGAAGGAUGAAAGGCUUAAUGAGUUUGAAUCUGAGGUUCCAGUGAGUCUAGUAGCUCUUUCAAAUCUGGCAUUCUUCAACCAGUAAGCUAUUCUUCUCCAGUUUAAGAAAUGUUUUCCAUCAAAUGAUUCCCAGUACAAACUUUUCUUUGAAACGUUACCUGCCACUAUAUUUACACUAUAUUACAAGUACUACGGAAGGCUUUAAAGUUGAUUGGUGGAAGAUUUCCAAGGUUCUAUAACUAAAGCCCAAUACCACACUGAAA